Molecule: ribosomal RNA, 808 nt
Filed under: Salmonella enterica
Lineage: Bacteria; Pseudomonadati; Pseudomonadota; Gammaproteobacteria; Enterobacterales; Enterobacteriaceae
Description: partial 23S ribosomal RNA
Rfam family: Bacterial large subunit ribosomal RNA
Source: RNAcentral
AAUGGCGUAAUGAUGGCCAGGCUGUCUCCACCCGAGACUCAGUGAAAUUGAACUCGCUGUGAAGAUGCAGUGUACCCGCGGCAAGACGGAAAGACCCCGUGAACCUUUACUAUAGCUUGACACUGAACAUUGAGCCUUGAUGUGUAGGAUAGGUGGGAGGCUUUGAAGCGUGGACGCCAGUCUGCGUGGAGCCGACCUUGAAAUACCACCCUUUAAUGUUUGAUGUUCUAACGUGGACCCGUAAUCCGGGUUGCGGACAGUGUCUGGUGGGUAGUUUGACUGGGGCGGUCUCCUCCUAAAGAGUAACGGAGGAGCACGAAGGUUGGCUAAUCCUGGUCGGACAUCAGGAGGUUAGUGCAAUGGCAUAAGCCAGCUUGACUGCGAGCGUGACGGCGCGAGCAGGUGCGAAAGCAGGUCAUAGUGAUCCGGUGGUUCUGAAUGGAAGGGCCAUCGCUCAACGGAUAAAAGGUACUCCGGGGAUAACAGGCUGAUACCGCCCAAGAGUUCAUAUCGACGGCGGUGUUUGGCACCUCGAUGUCGGCUCAUCACAUCCUGGGGCUGAAGUAGGUCCCAAGGGUAUGGCUGUUCGCCAUUUAAAGUGGUACGCGAGCUGGGUUUAGAACGUCGUGAGACAGUUCGGUCCCUAUCUGCCGUGGGCGCUGGAGAACUGAGGGGGGCUGCUCCUAGUACGAGAGGACCGGAGUGGACGCAUCACUGGUGUUCGGGUUGUCAUGCCAAUGGCACUGCCCGGUAGCUAAAUGCGGAAGAGAUAAGUGCUGAAAGCAUCUAAGCACGAAACUUGCCCCGA